UGUCUCUUUAUUGCUUGAAUCACUUCUGGCCAUCUCAUCUCAGCAGCUGAGAAAGUGACAAAGAACUGAGGUGUUCCUAUUUGGCGAACCAUACUGAAUAGAUCUCUGGUAGUUUUCUGCCAGUAAGCUGGAGUUCCUCUGAGUGGCUGCAUAAAUCUGAUUGCAUCUUUAUUUCUUACCAGCUUCUCUACUUCUGUCUUACUUUGUAACAUUCCUGAUGUGAUUUUGCGUCCAUCUUUGGUCAUAGUUUUACCUUUCCUUAGCUGUAUUGUCAUGCUGGAAUUAGCCAAGUGUAUUUCAGUGACAAACUGUGAGAAAAACAGGUAAUUUGUGUCUUUAGCAAAUCUUGCAUCAAUGUUGAAAAGCCUUGACUUGAAGUAAGCACUUGGUGUGAGUUUAAAACGUCUCUUUUCAUCCAGUGUAUUCUGACCAGUAGGAAACUGCACAGGAAAUGCCAUGGCUUCCAAGUGAGGAGUUCUGAAGAAGCUAACAGGAUUGUUUCUUUCUGCAGGAGCCACACAAUAUGUGUUAUCAGUGAAAGAGAGAAUCUCUUCUGAAAUGUCAACAGGCUGCAGGCAACUUUCUAGAGCAAAACCUCCAUUGUUCAAAUCACUUUCUGGUUCCUCUGGAUUGAUUUCCUCUGGUUGUUCAUCACAGGAUUGCAUAUUAACAUCUUGUUCACUUUCAGACUCAGUUUCACACAAAAGGGCAUCUUUUUCAUAGUUGUCAAUUUCCAUUAAAUCUGCUUCAUCAUAAUCAUCACUUCCCAUGCUGGCUUCAUCACUGCUGUCAUCAUCAGGUAACGUGGGAUCACAAAGCAAUGCAUCAUCUCUGAUAACAAUAUCUGUGUACUGUGGAUGAAUUUGUUUGAGUUUACGCAGGGCUUGGAUCAGUUUAGACCAGGUGACAGUCUGGAACAGCUGAUGGCCUUUGUAGCACAGUCGUCUUUUCAACUUGAUCCUCAUUAUCUGUGAUUGGCUUCUGAGCCGAGGUAAAGAGUCAACUGUUUGUUGGACCUCAGAUGGUACACACACCACAUUACCACGUAUGAGUCUUUGUCUGCCCUUUGGAAGAGGAAUAAUCUUUGCAAAUGGUAUGCAUUUGGCAAUCAGAUGUCUCUCCAGAAUGUUGAGAUCACACAGUUCAGCUGGAAUAUCCUGCAGUUCUAAACCAUUGACAGCAGCAAGCCUUGGCAUGCGUCCACUUUUGAGGGAACUGUGACACGUGUGACAGAUAUACUCCUUUUUUCUCUCAACAGGAAAGCUGCAGUGAUCAUUACAUGCUUCAUCACACACAUGAACAAAUUUACCAGUUAGACACUGCUGAGCUACAGUUUGGUGUUUUGAGUAAUUUUCUCUUUUGCAGAUUUUCACCUGAUUAGGAAAAGAAGCUUUUAGACAAACAGUACAAACAUAAGAUGGUGCUGACUUAAUGUUUGACCUGAAACGAGAUAUGGCCUCAUUCAUUAAACUGUUAUCUGGAUGAUACUGUAAACUUUCAGCUGGUCGAUGCAUCUGACGAUAUUUUCUUUUUAUAUUCAUUGCACAUCUGAUAUUAUGCAUCUGUCUAAAAGAAAAAACGUUCCAAUAUUUUACUCUCAUUCGUUCUCUCAUAUUCUCUUUGUGUUGUUGCUGAAAUUGUCUCUCUUCUCCAUAACGUUUAGUGAUGUAAGAUAGUUUUUUCUUUUUAAAUUCUUCACUUUCUUGAUAUAGUUUAUAUACAUAUGACCUCAUGCAGGCUUUAUGUUUCUCUCUGAAUUCAACAGAACUUCCAUAUGUUCUUCUUAUACGUUCUUUCUGCUUUUCUCGGAAUAUAGAAGACUCUCUAUAUGUUCUUCUUAUACGUUCUUUCUGCUUUUCUCGGAAUAUAGAAGACUCUCUAUAUGUUCUUCUUAUACGUUCUUUCUGCUUUUUUUGGAAUAUAGAAGACUCUCUAUAUGUUCUUCUUAUACGUUCUUUCUGCUUUUCUCGGAAUAUAGAAGACUCUCUAUAUGUUCUUCUUAUACGUUCUUUCUGCUUUUUUUGGAAUAUAGAAGACUCUCUAUAUGUUCUUCUUAUACGUUCUUUCUGCUUUUCUCGGAAUAUAGGAUUGUCUUUGUAUGUCCUUAUGACACAUUGCCUUUUUUUCUCUCUAAUUUUAGCACUUUCUCUAUACAGCCUUUUCAUUUGCUCCUUCUGUUUUUCCUUAAAAUCAUCUCUUUCUUUAUAGAUCUUUCUCAAAUGUUCUGUCUGUUUCUCUCUAUAUGUAGCAUUUAUUUUAUACAGAUUAUUUUUGUACACUCUCUUCUUCUGUCUGUGAUCUGGAUCAUUAGACUUUCUACUGGAAUUUCUUUUCUUUGCCUUAAAGCUUUCAUCACAACUGUACAUCUCCCUUUCCUUCCUUUUCUGAUUUUCCUUUCUUUGUGGUAAUUUCUGUUGGGCCAGUGACCUUCUCCUCAUUUUUUGUGCUUCCUGUUUAUUACGUUUCAAAAUUUUAUGUGGCAGUUCCUGUGUUGCCUUAGUUGAACAGGAGGCAGUGUUUGAAUCAUUCUGAGGAACAGCAUCUGAUAUUACCUGAGUUUCUCUCACAGAAGAUGCAGAGGUUUCUUUCUGUAAAUAAUCAGAAGGACGAUUCUUGUUUUCAGUAGCAGCUGUCUCAUCUGAAUAAUCCACUCUGGAUGAUGUCACUUCAGUGAUUACAGUCUCCGUAACAGUUUUCCGUGUCCGCUCAGUGGUUGUUUGGGAAUUUAAUUCAUGGACAGGUUCAUUUAAAGCUGCGGCUGGAACACUUGCAGCGGUUUGUCUGUAUUCGGUGGUUUGAUUAGCAUCUCUUUGGUCAGCAGCGUUUUCACUGUGAAACUCGACAGGCUGUAGCUCAUAAGUGCAGGAGAGGCCUGGCUUCGGGACGCACAGAUGCUACUCACUCGUGGACGACUUUCACUGUUUGUAACAUGUACAUGAGACGGUCCUGGAGCUUCUCCAUCAUGCUGCGUUUGCACAGUUACCUGGGGUUCAGUCUGGAUUACCUGCUGUACUUUAACAUUUGGCACACAUGCUGAGCGAAUACCUCUCUUUACCACAUCUGCAUAAGACACUGCGGCUGUCUGAACGCUGCUCUGCACUUCUGGACUGGGAAUACUUGUAACAGACACCUUUACCUGCUCACCGCUCUGAGAAACAUUUACCUGUUCUUUCUGCUUUUGCCAUCUAAGCUUCUGGGACUGCGACCUUUGACCUUUCCUUGGCAUUUUGUUAAGUACAAACUACACCUUAUGUUUAUUUCUACACAAAUGUUAAAAAACUCAACCUGUAAACACUGAAAAACUGACACCUC
This is a long non-coding RNA of Oreochromis aureus, 3312 nucleotides long. The record is from Ensembl. Lineage: Eukaryota; Metazoa; Chordata; Actinopteri; Cichliformes; Cichlidae.